This is a long non-coding RNA of Vigna unguiculata (cowpea), 4609 nucleotides long. Lineage: Eukaryota; Viridiplantae; Streptophyta; Magnoliopsida; Fabales; Fabaceae. The record is from RefSeq and is a predicted model, not a curated record.
GAUAUAUCUAAAAUCUUAUACACUUAAUAUCUUAGAGAAAAUAUUAUUCAAUUGGUUCUUGAGCUUCAAGAAAUUUACAUAAAUGGUUUAGUUACGACAAUUCCUCUAAAACGGGGAAGCGAUGGCCUCUGAAACUGGUUCUCACUUUUCUAAAUUAUUGGCCAUUGGGCAUCCAGUGGUAGGUUAAGCUUGUGAUAAAAGGAAUGCCCUCCCCUCGAGAAGUAUAGUUAUGUUGGAGCGGUGGCCAAACUUCCCAGAUGCGUGAUUAGCACCGAUCGCCACCUCGCGUCGGAAUUCAGCUACAAUUUGGAGUCCUUGUUGUCUUGUUUGAUUUAUUGUUGGUGAAUGUUGUGUUGUUUGAUUUGUUGUUUGUGAAUGUUGUGUUGUUUGAUUUGUUGUUUGUGAAUGUUGUGUUGUUUGAUUUGCUGCUCUUGAACAUCUUCCAUUUCUUACAUUUUCUGUGGCAGAGGAAUCAUCGCUUUCUUUAUAGGAGAGCAUUGAUCAUUCACUUGAUACGACAAAAGCUCAAAAGAAUACGAGACAACUUCGUUUAAUUCCGUUUGUACUUUGACAAAUGAUGGUUCUAAUGGAUGAGCGAGUUGAGAUCCUCUGGAGGAGACAAGGGAUGCAGUGAUUGGUGGCGUUUGGAAGCGAAAGAUGGUACUUUCCUGAACGAAGGUCGCUUUUUUAUACGUUCCAGAGUUUGCCUGGCGUAGAUGCUAUAAAGAAAAGGUGCUGCUCUCUCCUUGAAUUUCAGAAUGAAAAAGAAAAGAACUCUAAGCGAUAUGAGGAGGAUCAUGAUUGCAGCUAUGUCCCACCACUUUGAAUUAUCAAUAUGAAUGCCAAGCAUGGUUUUGAGGAUGAAUUCUCCUUUCAGUUUCGGGUCACCAGGUUCUAAGGGAUCAAACUCCAUUCCAAUCAAGUCAUUCUUGAAAGCUCCCUGCGUUCCCAUAAUCAGUAAAAGUAAGGCUAAAUUUCAGUCCCAGAUAAUUCAGCUCAUAUAUUAUAUAUCCUUUUGAUCAUGCCCUUUUGAAGGUAAUGCCUCUAAUUUUACCUGUAAUCCCCAUGCGCCAUAAUUGAUGUAUGAUAUUGGGUAACGCCAGAAGAUUUUGGGAAGAUCAGGGAGUGGACGGAAAAAGCCAGAAGUCAUCAUCAUAAGACCCUGCAAACACAUACGCACUAAAAUCAGCAACAACGAUUAUUCAACUGAAAAUGGGGUUAUAUUAUAUGUAGUAUAUAGUUUUCUUACAAUAUAUCCUGCUCCAAUUGUCAAUCCCAUGAGGAAGUUGGGAACCAGUGAAGCUAUAACCAUCAUGGAGCUCUCCACAACCGCAAUGCAGCCCAUAAGAUCAAGAGUGAUAUACAAAAAGUGUGAAAAUUCUGAACGAGACUUAACCAUAUAAUAGCUUAUAGCCCCUGUAGCAGUGGACAUCACUGCCAAAAACGGAAAGGAAGAGAGAAAAUUUGAGAGAAUGUAGACUCCAACGCCAUAAUAACCACCCAUUCUUUCUUUGUAGAAGACCUGAAUCCAGAGGGUAAAAGGUAAGAGAACUAAAUGCAUAUGUUUUUAACGUUUUAAUUUUGUAUCAGAUUAACUUUUUAUACCUUCAUUUCUUCUAAGAAAGAAGGGAAGCUCCCAAUGGACAUGAAGGUCAUGAAACCUGAGAUAAAACCGGCACAUGAUCCUCUGGCAAAAAUGGCUCUGUAACUCGUUCCGACAUCAUGGAAGAUUGUUCCAACGCACAAAGAUAAGGCGACAUAGGUAGUUAUCCUUAUCCAGUAGUAUCCCAAAUCUCUGGACAUGUUCAGGCAAGAUCUCUGAGUCAGCAUUGAUAGUUCCUUCCACCAUGUGGCUUCGCAUUUCCUUUUACUUUCAAAAUCAUGUCCUUCCUGUAACAUGAUUAAUUCCUUGGCCUUUACAUCCCACAAAACAUGUUUCCAAUUGUUGCAAAAUGGAGUAUUAAUAGUUCAGUGAACCAUUAUAUAUUGAUCAUUUUCCUAUGCAUAUGUCUUUAAAUUCAAGUACAUGUGUUUUCUGACAGUCAUGAUCUCUUCUUCGAAGGGAUUUCUAAUAUUAUUGCAUUUUCACAUGAAGCCAAAAACUAGCUAAGAAAUAAAUGAAUAAAAGAAAGGUUCUUAGAGUGUGAAAGGUUCACCUUUCUCUAUUUAUCUCCCUUUUCUUUAUGGCACAAGAUGAGUCCAUCAUUGUUAUACUAUUUUUUUCACAGCUUAUCUAGCUGGAUAAUAACAGUUUCAGCUCAGGCAAAGAAUAUUAUUAAUUACAUGAAGUUCUAUGUUCUGUAAACAAUAGUUAGUAAUAACAUUUUGAGUUAAGGGCUUCUUACUAUGUUUGAUAUUUCCUUGAUUCUUUCUCUUGCAGUGGUUGCAUACUCAGACCAUCGGUAUUUUUCUAUGAGUGUUGCUUUGAUUGCUGCAGUUGAUAAUGAUACUUCUUCCUGUAUCAAAGGAAUAAGGAAGACAGUGAGAAAGAAGCAAAUCUGAUAGGAAGAGAUUCCAAGGAAGGAAGAAAAAGAUGUAAUUUAUAAUCAGGUUAAAUGAGUAAAUAACAUCUAGGGUAAAAGAUUUGCUAGUAGAAGUUGAUGACUUUUAUAAUAAGUAUUUUAAAAAUCAUAUUAAAAAGGUUGAUGACUUAUAGAAAUGGUUAUAUAUACUUGUCUCGUUUGGGAGGCCGUGAUUGUGGCUGUGACAGCGUCGAAGUCUGAGUUGAUACAACGAAGGAAAUGAUCGGAAGGGUUUCUUCUACUUGGACAUGGGAAUCCAGCUUUAGCAAAGAACUGCAUGCACAAAUACAAUGUCCAAAGUAGAUUGUUUGACCCCCAGAGAGAAGAAAGAGAUUAUCAAAGAGUGCAAAAACCUCACUACUUGGUUGGUGUAUAGAGGAGAUAACAGUUUUUGCAUCAUGAGCCAAAUUUCUGAGAGUUUGAGCAACAAAAUAUGCAGAGGCACUGUCGAGACCAGUGGUGGGUUCAUCAAGGAACAAGAGAGUUGGCCUUGUGAGGAUUUCAAGAGCAAUGCUUAGUCUUCUCUUCUCUCCACCGCUUAUACCUCUCAAAUGCCAAUUCCCUAUUAUCCGAUCUGCACAUUCUUGAAGACCCAUUUCCAUAAUUGUUCCUUCUAUUAUCUCAUUCACCUCUUCUUUCCUCAUGCUCCCUGGAAGCCUUAGAUUCGCUGAGUAAUAUAUCGUCUCUCUCACUGUCAGAGUUCCCAGCAUUGUGUCUUCUUGGGUCACAUAAGCCUAUGAAGAGCUAGAAGGUUGGAGCUAUAGAGAGGCAAUUGGAGGUGUUCCUAGUCUUCUAGCUAUGUAGAAUGUCAACAAUGGCAGGAUGCCAUGGAAGAGGAGAUUGAAUUUUUGAAGAGGAAUCACACUAUAUGCUUGCUUUUAGAUCUGCCCAGAAAUCAAAAUGUGGUUGGAUAAUAGGUAUUCAAAAAAAAAAAAAAAGAAAAAAGAAAAAGGAAGGAAUAACUGUUAUGGAGAAGAAAAUAUUCAAGGGAAAUAGAUUCAACAGAGGACACUGAGAACCAAUCAAACAUGUAAAAAUGAAAAUUACAUGCUAGCUGAUAAAUUUGACUCCUGAAUUCAAGAAACUUUUCAAGAAAGAGAAAAAUUUGGGAAGAGAUCACAAGAUUGGUUAUUUAACAUUUUCCCUACUGUUUUUCACUUCCAAACCUUGUUUUUAAGCAAAAAGUGUCACUAUCAAAAACCAUUUAAGGUAUACGUUUACACACAUUCUAUCUGUCAUUUAUGUGAAAGGAAAAAAAAAAAAGUUUCUCUCCCUUUUAUUUUCUCCCAGCUGUGAGUUCUUGGUCUUAUGAUCCAAAACUCAUAAAUUCUAAUAACUUUAAUAUUAACAAAUGAAAGUGACCACACAGAUGCAUAAACUAAUUCAGUAAUGAAAGUCCUUAGAUUUCCUUGUUAGGAAGGAUUUAGUUAUGAUAAGUUACUUGUCUUGGAACAACAUCAGUCUUCCUUCAUUCUGAUUUUAAUGUACCUGCAACAUUCUCCAUGUCAAGAUUUAGUUCUGUUUUUCUUUUUUUUUUUUUUUUUUUUUUUUAUCUUUAUGACCGAUUUAAAAUAUGUCUAGAACAACAUUAGAUGAUUUGAAGUUCAUAACCACAUGAUCUCAACAAGGAUACUUACCAUGUUUGGUUCGUUCUCUGAUGCAAAAACCAAACAUGAAAGUCCCUCUUAAUUUUAGCAUGAAAUUCGUAUUCAAAGUACAAGAAAAAUGACAUGCACACACAGAGACACACAGAGAAACACCAAUGAUAAACAGAUAGAAAGAAGUUGAAAUGAACUUGCUAAAGCAUUAAAAAGAGUAGAUUUAUGCACACAUGGACACAGACACACACACAGAGAAACAUCAGUAACGAUCAGAAAGAAGGAAGUUGAAAUGAACCUGCUAAAGCAUUAAGAAGAGUAGAUUUAUGCACACACAGAGAAACACUAGUGAUGAUCAGAAAGAAGGAAGUUGAAAUGAAUCUGCUAAAGCGUUAAGAAGAGUAGAUUUAUGCACACACAUGGAUAUACAGACACACACAUACAGAAACACCAAUGAUGAACAGAUAGAAGGAAGUAGAGAUGAACCUG